GCCUUUAUAAGCAAAGGGGCGUAAAGGGUGUGUAGGCCGACUGCCCCACCCCCCCCCAAGGUGGUAAAUGGAAUUUUUCUGUAGCGGUAGAAUGUGCGGAUAGAAAAUAGAACCCCAAAAGCUGAAGCAAUUUACCGCGGGGUGGGAGGGGGGGCCCCCUGGGGCGCCCCCCCGGGCUACGGGCUGAAACACGAGGGUGUGGGGAACAAACAGGAUUAGAGACCCUGGUAGUCCACACUGUAAACGAUGGAGAAAAUGCGAAUGCAGUCCCGAAAGGCAGCAAUCUCCCGCCUGAGUAGUACGAUCGCAAGAUUAAAACUCAAAAAAUUUGGCUGUUCACCGUUUCGAUUAGAGGAGCGUGUAGUUUAAUUCGAUAAACCGCGAGAUACCUUACCCAAACUUGAAUCCUUGAGGAUUCUAAGGAAUCCUUAUGGACCGGUAUUGCAUGGCCGUCGUCAGUUCGUGUAUGAAACUUUAAACGGACCCAACCCGAGGAUUAGCCGCGGAUGAAGUCAGGUCUUAUGGUCCCAAUGUUUGGGGAUAAUAUGCGCUACAUUUUCUUAUACAAUGGGAAACCUGGGAGGUGAAACCCAAAAGUGAGAGUUCGGUAGGCUAUUGGAAGAUGGCCGAAAGUUGAAUUUAAUAGUAAUCGGAAAGUAUAGCGUUCCGGUGAAAUGGUCU
RNAcentral lists this ribosomal RNA (681 nucleotides) under Isaurus sp. FS-2005. RNAcentral describes it as "partial 12S ribosomal RNA". It matches the Rfam family "Bacterial small subunit ribosomal RNA", at positions 540 to 1374 of the family's 1533-position model. The record is from RNAcentral. Lineage: Eukaryota; Metazoa; Cnidaria; Anthozoa; Zoantharia; Zoanthidae.